Molecule: ribosomal RNA, 549 nt
Filed under: Pseudomonas sp. EECC-345
Lineage: Bacteria; Pseudomonadati; Pseudomonadota; Gammaproteobacteria; Pseudomonadales; Pseudomonadaceae
Description: bacterial SSU rRNA
Rfam family: Bacterial small subunit ribosomal RNA
Source: RNAcentral
CGGACGGGUGAGUAAUGCCUAGGAAUCUGCCUGGUAGUGGGGGAUAACGUUCGGAAACGGACGCUAAUACCGCAUACGUCCUACGGGAGAAAGCAGGGGACCUUCGGGCCUUGCGCUAUCAGAUGAGCCUAGGUCGGAUUAGCUAGUUGGUGAGGUAAUGGCUCACCAAGGCGACGAUCCGUAACUGGUCUGAGAGGAUGAUCAGUCACACUGGAACUGAGACACGGUCCAGACUCCUACGGGAGGCAGCAGUGGGGAAUAUUGGACAAUGGGCGAAAGCCUGAUCCAGCCAUGCCGCGUGUGUGAAGAAGGUCUUCGGAUUGUAAAGCACUUUAAGUUGGGAGGAAGGGCAGUUGCCUAAUACGUAACUGUUUUGACGUUACCGACAGAAUAAGCACCGGCUAACUCUGUGCCAGCAGCCGCGGUAAUACAGAGGGUGCAAGCGUUAAUCGGAAUUACUGGGCGUAAAGCGCGCGUAGGUGGUUUGUUAAGUUGGAUGUGAAAUCCCCGGGCUCAACCUGGGAACUGCAUUCAAAACUGACUGACUAG